This 451-nucleotide ribosomal RNA is filed under the name fungal sp. NY6753e. Its description in RNAcentral is "eukaryotic LSU rRNA". The stretch from base 147 to 300 matches the Rfam family "5.8S ribosomal RNA". Lineage: Eukaryota; Fungi. The record is from RNAcentral.
GCUUGCGCCCACAGGUAACCCUUGAAUAAAUUACCUUCGUUGCUUUGGCGGGCCGCCUCCCAGGCCAGCGGCUUCGGCUGCUGCGCGCCCGCCAGAGGACCACAACUCUUGUUUUUAGUGAUGUCUGAGUACUAUAUAAUUGUUAAAACUUUCAACAACGGAUCUCUUGGUUCUGGCAUCGAUGAAGAACGCAGCGAAAUGCGAUAAGUAAUGUGAAUUGCAGAAUUCAGUGAAUCAUCGAAUCUUUGAACGCACAUUGCGCCCUUUGGUAUUCCGAAGGGCAUGCCUGUUCGAGCGUCAUUAUAACCACUCAAGCCUUCGCUUGGUAUUGGGGCUCGCGGUCGCGCGGCCCCUAAACUCAGUGGCGGUGCCGGCUGGCUCUACGCGUAGUAAUACUCCUCGCGUCUGGGUCCGGUCGGUUGCCUGCCAGCAACCCCCCAUUUUUACAGGU